GUCUCCAUCGACUAGUGGUUAAGUCAUCGGUCUCAUAAUCCGGAAAGCGGAGUUCGAUUCUCCGUGGGGACA
RNAcentral lists this transfer RNA (72 nucleotides) under Talaromyces stipitatus ATCC 10500. RNAcentral's name for it is "tRNA-Met (CAT) (tRNA-Met-CAT-1-1, tRNA-Met-CAT-1-2)". It matches the Rfam family "tRNA". From Rfam's summary of the family: Transfer RNA (tRNA) molecules are approximately 80 nucleotides in length. Their secondary structure includes four short double-helical elements and three loops (D, anti-codon, and T loops). RNAcentral also lists the same sequence under 1 other name. Lineage: Eukaryota; Fungi; Ascomycota; Eurotiomycetes; Eurotiales; Trichocomaceae. The record is from RNAcentral.